AGAAAGAAAGAAAGAAAGAAAGAAAGAAAGAAAGAAAGAAAGAAAGAAAGAAAGAAAGAAAGAAAGAAAGAAAGAAAGAGAGAAAAAAAGUUGGAUACCACUGAGAGAGCAUGUGAACUGGGUCCGGUUUCCCACAAUGCCAAGUGUGUACAGAGAUAUGAGUCGUGGUCACUCAGGGGUGGAGCCCUCCUCUGUUCCUACAUCACCACAGAAACAGGCCUCUCAUUUUGUUAUCACUUACAGACUAAAUUGGGGCUACAUUGGAAUUGCCCCACUUGACCAACGAUCGCCGCCCUACUAGGGAAUAUGCUCUUUAAGGAAUAGCUAACACUUGGGAACUGAUAAAUGGGAUUGACAAUAAUCUGUGGAUAAUAUGUAGUUGUUUAGUUGUCUUCCUCUUCACUUUUUGGUUGGUGGUCUCUGCUGUUUGCUUGUCAACAGCCCUGUGGAGUGCCCAAGCCUGUGGCUAUUCCCAUUUCUCCUGGUAUUCCCAGUUCUCCUCCUGGCUUGGCUGGGCUCCUCUCCAGCUUCCUGUAGUGGAGUGUUUGGCAUCACACCGUGCCCAGGAACACACAUUGCAGCCAUGCCUGUGGGCAUGAAGUGUGCGUGUGGGAGAGAGAGAGGGAGAGAGAGGGAGUGUCAGGGGAGGUAGAGUAAAGGUACUGUCUCUCUCAAACACACACACACACACACACCACUUAGCAGUGCUACACUUUCUCACAUGGUUGUGGGCUUCCUUUUCUUUACUAGUUUUUGUUGGUCGCUGAGAAAGACAUACCCUCUGUGUUUGGUAGAGCAGGAGUCAGAGGAGAGAAAGACAUACCCUCUGUGUUUGGUAGAGCAGGAGUCAGAGGAGAGAAAGACAUACCCUCUGUGUUUGGUAGAGCAGGAGUCAGAGGAGAGAAAGACAUACCCUCUGUGUUUGGUAGAGCAGGAGUCAGAGGAGAGAAAGACAUACCCUCUGUGUUUGGUAGAGCAGGAGUCAGAGGAGAGAAAGACAUACCCUCUGUGUUUGGUAGAGCAGGAGUCAGAGGAGAGGACAGGAGAGGGGACAGACUCAUCCAGGUGGACAGAGGUAGGAGUGGACAGAGGGGGACACCCAUGGAGGAAGGUCACUCUGAUAUUUCCCACUACUGACCCCCUUGUCUUGCAUAGCCAGACAUCGUAUUCUUGCAAUCGCAAAAAUCAAAGCUAGUGACACGUUGAUGACUCGGCUGGUAUUCUUGUGCUUUCUCAGGAAAUGGGAGGCUGUGGAGGAUAUGACAAACAGCCCUCAUUCAGUCAGCAGACUAACUGGACAGCUCUACUGUACGCCACAGGGGACAGACCUUUGGCAGGCAGAGAGGUCGCUGAGCUCUGAGAACAACAGUUAGUUGGGUGGGUGAGUAACAUUGUAACACUCAUGUUUGUUGGAUGAGUUCUAGAAUAGAAGACGAGUAGACUGGUUAGAUGUUGUUACUUAUUUCUUACAGUCAUUUAUUGUUGAUAGAUAAUGAUUGCUGUAAUGAAUUGUGCAUACAAAAUUGUAUCAUUGUCUUAUACUGUCUAAUAUUGUAAUGUGUUAUGUUUUCUUUAUGUUGACGUGACGAGAAUAGUAUCUAAAGAUAUGAUAUUAUUCUUAUAAUGUUGCUGCAGAUCUUCUUCACAGCUCUACUGUUAAGAGGCAGUGUCCAAAGUGUGGAGGAUGAUGUCACACGUCAGCUGUCCUCAUCGCUGGGCUACCAUGGCAACGACAUUCAUCAGAAUGACUUCCUGCAAAAGCAAAGCACUGUCACGAUCACUUUCUGUACUGACAGAUCACUUUACAAGGAUAAUUAUUGUGUUUGCGUAAGGUUACGCAUUGAAAUGCUAUGCCAAAUGAGUGGACUGUCUUUGUAAAUCUACUUGUCAUCCAUGUCACAACUGCUGCACAGAGUUUCUAAAUAAGCAAAGUGUCCUCCAAAAUCUUUGCUGCUGCCACGCAACCACUGCAUCCCUAUUGUCCGGCAGGGAAAGUCUUCCCCCAGAGGCUGGUUUCACAUGGUGGUUUAGAUUAAUGUUCCCAGUGUCUAGCACCAUUUGAAAUCAGUGUUCUUGGGGACAGGAGAACAGCACUGGGCCUCUGGUAGUGUCAGUCAGUCUAUUGGAGCCAUCCUCUCUCUCUCUCUCUCUCUCCCCUUUAAAGGAUGACUGAUUUCCUCUGGUGUUUAGAGCCCCUUACAGCCUUCUAGCACCAUUUGAAAUCGGUUAUAAUGACUGGGGAUCAAUGCCUCAAUGUCUUCACGAUGUCUACACGUCAACUCUACAGUCAAGCAGACAGGAAAUGAAUUUGAUGAAUGUUCAUAUUGUACGUGUCACAGGGUCUGCUCUACAGAUUGGACAGUUGGACAGGAGCUCAUUUCCAGUGGGACAGUUUUAAAGUUUUUAUUGAAUAAAUGUUCAAUAAAACUGAAUUGAUAGUGCAUACUUA
This is a non-coding RNA of Oncorhynchus mykiss (rainbow trout), 2449 nucleotides long. Lineage: Eukaryota; Metazoa; Chordata; Actinopteri; Salmoniformes; Salmonidae. The record is from RefSeq and is a predicted model, not a curated record.